AUGUCACGCCCACCUCGUCAUGGGAAGAGCAAUGGCGGGGCGGGAAGAGCAGCGGCGGCCGCCCUUCCCCUUCAUAGACAGGUGGUGCUGGCGCUGGAUGCCCCUGGAGCCUCGAUCUCCCACUACUCCACAAGAAACCUGCCACGAAGGAGCAAGGACGACGUCGCGCAAGUAGUGGCGGCGACGGCCGAUUGCAUUCCAUCCUUGAGUAAGUCGGAAAUCGAGGAGCAUGAACAGAAGGUAAACAGAUACCAAGCUGAACUUGCAGCCCGCAUUAAGUCCAAAUACUUCUCUAAUAAGGCUUUUGACGGAGGAAAAAUCUUUGAAGAAGAAACUAUUGUUGAAGGCGAAACCAUCCGUUCAAGUAGGUGGCCAUGUACAAGUUCGUACGCGAACCCGGUAAAUUUUCUCCAAGAGAAGAAGAGCCAUGAGAGGAGGGAUUCUCCAUCUUUGGUAGCUGAAGCUUCACCAAAGAAUAAUGCAGGUGUUUUGGCAACAGAAAACAAUCUAACACCUGGCAAGAGACAAGCAUCCAAGGAGACCUGA
RNAcentral lists this ribosomal RNA (546 nucleotides) under Triticum aestivum (bread wheat). RNAcentral's name for it is "partial small subunit ribosomal RNA". The record is from RNAcentral. Lineage: Eukaryota; Viridiplantae; Streptophyta; Magnoliopsida; Poales; Poaceae.